CCUCACCAUCCCUUCUGCCUGC
Molecule: microRNA, 22 nt
Filed under: Homo sapiens (human)
Lineage: Eukaryota; Metazoa; Chordata; Mammalia; Primates; Hominidae
Description: hsa-miR-6511a-3p
Source: miRBase by way of RNAcentral